This 503-nucleotide ribosomal RNA is filed under the name uncultured bacterium. RNAcentral's name for it is "partial 16S ribosomal RNA". It matches the Rfam family "Bacterial small subunit ribosomal RNA", at positions 899 to 1397 of the family's 1533-position model. The record is from RNAcentral.
ACUCAAAUGAAUAGACGGGGACCCGCACAAGCGGUGGAGUAUGUGGUUUAAUUCGACGCAACGCGAAAAACCUUACCUAGGCUCGAACGACUGGAAGUAAGAUCUAGGAAACUAGAGAUGACCUGUAAAGUCAGGUGCCAGCCGAGGUGCUGCAUGGUUGUCGUCAGCUCGUGUCGUGAGAUGUUGGGUUAAGUCCCGCAACGAGCGCAACCCCCAUUCUGUGUUGCUAAUCCGAAAGGAUGCACUCUCAGAAAACUGCCCACGAUGAGUGGGAGGAAGGUGGGGACGACGUCAAAUCACCAUGGCCCUUAUGUCUAGGGCUACACACGUACUACAAUGGUCGGUACAGAGGGUCGCAAUACCGCAAGGUGGAGCCAAUCCUUAAAACCGGCCCCAGUUCAGAUUGUGGGCUGAAAUUCGUCCACAUGAAGGUGGAAUCGCUAGUAAUCGCGAAUCAGAAGGUCGCGGUGAAUACGUUCCCGGGUCUUGUACACACCGCCCGU